CCAAAAGGGACAAGCCCGAAGGAAAAGAAGAAGAAGAUGAUUAUAUUGCGCCCCCCUGGAGAAAACUCCACCAGCCGCCACUGGGUGGUGCUAUUUUAAACAAACUUCCAAAUGUUUGUGUUCCCCCCCUUCAGUGUGAAAUGGGUCUGGUUUCUUAACGAUAUGGCAAAGGAUACCAUAUUCGGGAUGAUGAAACAUACAAGUGAGAAGCGAGUAUUUGAAAUGAAGGCGCGGGAGUUGAAGAAGCGGAGUGUGUACAGCAAGGCACUGUGAGGACAAAGCACGUCCACGUUCGCCGCAUUGUGAGGGGAAACAAGACAGACGAGUACCUCAAUCCAAGACUUUUGGAGCACAGACCACGUGUUGUGACGGGGUGACGUCACGGAUCUUGGGUUUUCCCGAAACGGCUUUUUAGUGCAACUUGACUGCCACGUCGCGUCAACUUCCCGGAGCACCAGGAGGAAUCUCUUGCCGCCAUGUACGCGCAACGAGAAUGUCGUCUUGGACCUGAACAGGAGGACCUAACUAACAUGGCUGAGCGGCUCUUAUAAAGGGAUAGUCAUGGGUUUCUCUACCCUCCUGCUGGCUAGUGCUGUGUCCUCACUGGGAGGUCUGGUUUUUGGUUACGAACUGGGCAUCAUCUCUGGUGGUCUGCUGCAGCUCAAGGUUGAGUUCGGACUCAGCUGCAUCCAGCAGGAGGCGCUGGUCAGCUCCCUGUUGAUCGGAGCCUUGCUAGCCUCUCUGGUGGGAGGAGCCCUGAUCGACCGUUACGGCUGCAGAAAGUCCAUCCUGCUCAGUAAUCUCCUAAUGACGACUGGAAGUCUCAUCUUGCUUAUCAGCUCCUACCAAACCCUAUUGUUUGGCAGGUUCACAGUGGGCUUCGCCAUGUGCCAAUCCUCCAUGUCCUGCUGCAUCUUUGUGUCGGAGAUGGUAACUCCUGAACGUAGGGGCUUUUUGGUAACACUGUACGAAGCUGGGAUCACUGUGGGCAUCCUUAUAGCUUACACCAUGAACUACAUUUUGUUUGACUUACAAAUGGGCUGGAAGUGGAUGUUUGGCUUAGCUGUAGUACCAAACUUGAUUCAACUUGUCUCUAUAUGGUUCCUCCCGUCGAACACUGAGGUGCAAUGUACAGACAUUCAUCCUGAAACAGCUCUUAUGACUGCCAUUGAAACCCAAGACGAAGCUCGGUCUAACAGCAGCAAGGAAGGCGAGGUGGUGCAGUAUGAUGUCAUGUACCUUUUCCAGCGUAAAGACAACAUGAGGACCCGCACCAUCAUCGGGCUAGGACUGGUGCUUUUCCAGCAGUUGACAGGCCAGCCAAAUGUUCUCUUUUAUGCCUCCACCAUAUUUCACAGUGCAGGGUUUCAGAGCGACAACUCUGCAGUGCUAGCAUCGGUUGGUAUUGGAACAGUCAAAGUGAUUGCCACUCUCACCUCCAUGGUGUAUUCUGACAAAGUGGGAAGGAGGCCUUUGCUCAUCAGUGGAUGCUGUCUCAUGGGUUUUUGUCUGAUAUGCAUCGGACUUCUCAGUGGAAAUUCACUAAAGGAUUCGAUGGGGCCUUGUAGCUCAGAGGACUCAAUUGGCAACAAAACGAGUCAACUUCAUUUAACAGUUGGAAAUGACACACCUCUGAACACACCUUUUGAUGAGGACCACAAACUUCAAGCUGCUGGUGCACUAGUUGUUCGAAACCAAACAGAAAAACCUCUGAAACCUGCCAUUGAAUCUUCUCCCAGCAUUCGUGACAAAGUUUUCAGCUGGAUCAUUCUAAUGUGCAUGAUGGCAGUUGUCACUGCAUACUCCAUUGGAUUUGGACCAAGGGUCGCCACACCGCGUCGUCCUUUUCCAUAAGAUACAUCAAGUACUCACCUGCCUGCCUCUCUGAUCACCUUGGCUGCAGUGGUCCAGUCUUCUGGAAGCUCCUCCCGUCCACCGAGAGCCUGUCUCACCUCUUCCCGAAAAGCUGCACAACACUCGUCCUGUCUCAGCUUCCACCACAUGGUUCUCUGCUCUGCCUUUAUCUUCCUAAUCUUCCUCCCCACCACCAAAGUCAUCUUACACACCACCAUCCUAUGCUGUCUGGCCACACCCUCCCCUACCACAACCUUACAGUCGGUAACCUCCUUCAGAUUACAUCGUCUGUACAAGAUGUAAUCCACCUGCGUGCUUCUACAUCCGCUCUUGUAGGUCAACCUAUGUUCCUGCCUCUUCCGGAAAAAAGUGUUCACUACAGCCAUUUGCAUCCUUUUUGCAAAGUCUACCACCAUCUGUCCCUCCAAGUUCCUUUCCUGGAUGCCGUACUUACCCAUCACUUCUUCAUCACCCCUAUUUCCUUCACCAACAUGUCCAUUCACCAACAUGUCCAUUACAAUCUGCACCAAUCACGAGUCUCUCUCUGUCUGAACUACUUCGUCUAGCUCAUUCCAGAAUUUCUCUUUCACCUCUAGGUCACAUCCUACCUGUGGGGCUUCGUCGCUAAUCACAUUUUCCCCCAAACACUCUCAAUUUAAAGUUUCUGCCUCAUCACUCGAUCUGAUACUCUUUUCACCUCCAAGACAUUCUUAGCCAACUCUUCUUUUAAAAUAACCCCCGACUCCAUUUCUCUUCCCAUCUACACCAUGGUAAAAUAAUUUCAACCCUGCCCCUAGACUUCUAGCCUUACUGCCUUUCCACCUGGUCUCCUGGCCACACAAUAUAUCAACCUUUCUCCUAAUCAUCAUGUCAACCAACUCCUGAGAUUUUCCUGUCAUAGUCCCAACAUUUGGAGUCCCUACAUUCAGUUCUAGGCUAUGUGCUUUCCUCUUCUCUUUCUGCCGAAGAACCUGCUUUCCUCCUCUUCUUCUUCUUUGAGUUCGACACACAGCAGCUGAAUUUCCACCGGCGCCCUGCAGGUUGACGGCGCCGGUGGCGGACGUUGUUUAGCUGGACCAGGACCGAUCCGCGCCUACCUGAGGGAAGGAGCUGGAAGAGCCAGUGACCGGGAUCUGGAGGGUCCGAGAGGAUUUUGCACGCUCUUGUCUUAGUUCUGGCAGCGUGCAAGUCCUCAAGGGUGAGUAGGGGCGUACCGACAAUCCUUUCAGCAGUUUUGAUUGUCCGUUGCAGUCGGAGUUUGUCCUUUUUUGUAGCAGCACCAAACCAGACGUUGAGGACGGAGUUGAUGUUGGUCGCCCACUUCAGGUCCUGAGAGAUUGUAAUUCCCAGGAACUUGAAGGUCUCGACAGUUGACACAAGGCAGCUGGACAACGCACCACAGCUCCAGCCGUUCCGCUUCCUGUCGAAAUGCAGACUCGUCACCGUCCAUGAUGAGGCUGAUGACAGUGGUGUCAUCUGCAAACUUCAGGAGUUUGACAGCCGGGUGCGCUGUGGUGCAGUCGUUCGUGUAGAGAGAGAAGAGCAGCGGAGAGAGGACACAACCUUGGGGCGCCCCAGUGCUGAUGCUGCGUGUGGAUGAGGUGGCCUCCCCCAGGCUCACCUGCUGUGUCCUGCCCGUCAGGAAGCUCUAAAUCCACUGGCAGAUGGCAGUGACCUGGCUCCUCCUCACUGAAAUAUUUCCCGCUGCUGUGAGAGGAAGAGCAUUCGCAUUCACCAGCUGCUUCAACUGGAGUGCCCACCUCUUGGUUACCUUCACUUUCCUGGAUGUUUUCAAUGCUAUCGGUCU
Phyllopteryx taeniolatus (common seadragon) is the source of this 3661-nucleotide RNA transcript. It is a transcript of the gene named solute carrier family 2 member 10, with no coding region annotated. The record is from RefSeq and is a predicted model, not a curated record. NCBI's taxonomy places the organism in Eukaryota, Metazoa, Chordata, Actinopteri, Syngnathiformes, Syngnathidae. The transcript is spliced from 8 exons.